UACGUAGGGGGCAAGCGUUGUCCGGAAUUAUUGGGCGUAAAGCGCGCGCAGGCGGCGACUUAAGUCUGGUGUUUAAACCUUGGGCUCAACCUGGGGUCGCACUGGAAACUGGGUGGCUUGAGUACAGAAGAGGAAAGUGGAAUUCCACGUGUAGACGGUGAAAUGCGUGAGAAGAUGUGGAGGAACACCAGUGGCGAAGGCGACUUUCUGGGCUGUAACUGACGCUGAGG
This 230-nucleotide ribosomal RNA is filed under the name uncultured bacterium. Its description in RNAcentral is "partial 16S ribosomal RNA". It matches the Rfam family "Bacterial small subunit ribosomal RNA", at positions 524 to 751 of the family's 1533-position model. The record is from RNAcentral.